AGUGAACGCUGGCGGUAGGCCUAACACAUGCAAGUCGAACGGCAGCACAGUAAGAGCUUGCUCUUACGGGUGGCGAGUGGCGGACGGGUGAGGAAUACAUCGUAAUCUACUUUUUCGUGGGGGAUAACGUAGGGAAACUUACGCUAAUACCGCAUACGACCUACGGGUGAAAGCAGGGGAUCUUCGGACCUUGCGCGAUUGAAUGAGCCGAUGUCGGAUUAGCUAGUUGGCGGGGUAAAGGCCCACCAAGGCGACGAUCCGUAGCUGGUCUGAGAGGAUGGUCGGCCACACUGGAACUGAGACACGGUCCAGACUCCUGCGGGAGGCAGCAGUGGGGAAUAUUGGACAAUGGGCGCAAGCCUGAUCCAGCCAUACCGCGUGGGUGACGAAGGCCUUCGGGUUGUAAAGCCCUUUUGUUGGGAAAGAAAAGCAGCAGGUUAAUACCCCGCUGUUCUGACGGUACCCAAAGAAUAAGCACCGGCUAACUUCGUG
Molecule: ribosomal RNA, 492 nt
Filed under: uncultured bacterium
Lineage: Bacteria
Description: partial 16S ribosomal RNA
Rfam family: Bacterial small subunit ribosomal RNA
Source: RNAcentral